Molecule: long non-coding RNA, 4105 nt
Organism: Sapajus apella (tufted capuchin)
Lineage: Eukaryota; Metazoa; Chordata; Mammalia; Primates; Cebidae
Exons: 2
Source: RefSeq, a predicted model, not a curated record
UAGUCUCUAAGCAGUUCCAUCUGUCAAGCAGAAAUUUUAGGCUAAUAGCCUGUGGCGAUCUCCCUCCGCAGUCCACUACCUGCCUUUGUCCUAUUAAAUCUCUUUAUUCUCCUUAAAAAAAAAAAAAAAAAAAAAAAAAAAAAGGUGGGGGGAUUGGUUGUUGGAAGAAAAGGAAAAACCCUGCAGACCAAAAUCAUCUGAGUGAUGAAGCCCUAAUUUUAACCACCUCCCUUUGAUGUGUAGCAGUGGGAUCUUGUUUUUUAAAAAGGAGAGAGGAGAAGACAGUGCUAGGAGCAGAAGACUUUUCAUCUCCACUUCACCUUGCCACUGGGUCUGUGAGAGAUUGGUUCAUUGUCAAGGAGAUUUUUUUUUUUACCCAUGAUUCCAUAUGGUAUGGACCGGACUACAUGUUGCCCCACAUGCCACUGCAAAUGUUUUCUCAAUUAGGUGUCUUAUCUCCCGUGAGUUAGCAUCAGAUGAAGCUUGCUGACAGCGUAAUGGCAGGGAAAGCUUCCGACGGCUCCAUCAAAUGGCAGCUCUGCUACGACAUCUCGGCCAGAACUUGGUGGAUGGGACUCUGGGGUGUAUGGUUUUCUUUGGCUGUGGUAUUUUCUGAGGACGAGUGUUGGGCACUGAAGAGAAGCAAGCCCUGAGUGAAUUCCAGUCCUGGCCAAUUAAUUGGAUUGCCUGAAGUCACCUGUGAGAGAACUCCCAGUCCCCACUCCCUAUUUUCCAUCCGGGGAUCCACAGCUCUCAUCUAACUUUUCCCCGUUUAUGUCAGAGCAGAUUUCUGCCUCUUAGGCACUCUAGCUCUGAGUGGAAAAGACCCACACACUCUAUCUUUCAGUUACUCUGGAUAUAAAUAAAGUUUUAAUAAAGUUCUGCCAUGCAGCGGCAGAAUGAGUUAACUCACAUGUCAUGGUCAACCAGGACAGCAACCUUUGACAUCUUGGAUCUAUAAGAGGUAGAGUGAGUUGGGAGGAUGCACAAUAGCUCAUUGUCACAGGAGAUGCAAGUCCUGUGAGGAGGAGAGUCCUCAAAUCAUUACUGCCCUCGUUAGGAUGGUGUCCGUUAAGGAUUAAUUUGUUAGCAGUGCAUUUCUAGUUUUCCGUAAUUAUUAUUCUUUCGGCAAGCGUGAAUUCUUCCAGGGAGUGAAAAAAAAGUUUGCUGCCAGACAAUGAAUGUAUUAUCCGUUCCUAACUGGACCGUGAACUUCAGCUCAUUUCACAUAGAUAUCAGUUUAAGAAAAAAAGAGAGCAAGAGAGAUGUUGAAGGGGGAGACUGGCGAAUGGAAUUACAAAACAGGGCAUGGUCGGUUUCAUUGUAUGAUCUGCAGAAAGAGUUCUCUUUUCCCCUUCCUGGACCAAUGGUGUAUCAUUUUGGCAAGUUUUAGGAAUUCGGAGGACUGAGAGACUGUUAAAAGUGAGCUACCGCAGGAUUCUAUCCGGCUGCUUCUUGGGAUGCAGUAUGUCCAUCCUAAGGACUCUUGAGUUAAAGUGGUUGUGGGUAUGUGUGUACCUGUGUGUUUUAACUUGUAAUUUCUUAACUAGACAUUAGAAAUUUUACCAGUAAUUUCAGAACAAUGUUACAUGCAGCUUUUGGCUAAUUAGACUAGCAGUAGACUAUCCACUCUGACCCUGAACUUUUGUUCAGGGCACUUAUUUUCCCAUUAGAGUUUUUGCCAGCAAGAACAAGGUUUACUUGUAUGCUAUGAUGUUGCCUAUUGCUUCACUUUAUACAGCUUGUUAAACAUUAGAAAUGAAUAUACUGAUUGGUUUAGUAAUUGUUUUCUAAGUUGUAAGCUUUUUUAAAAAAACUGCACGCCGAUGUCAUAUUCUGGGUGAAACAUUCUACUUCCUUGUAUUUCAAGAGCUCAUAGAUUUUAUAGACUGUUACUUUUUAUGGCAAAUUGUGUCACCUCUUUUUUUUUUCCUUGCAAAGAUCACCAAAUGUCUCUCUUUUUUUAACUUGGAAAACUGUAAUUUCUUUUUUGUAAAGUUUACUUGGAAGUUGCUUUUCAUUUAAAAUUAUUUUACAGAUGUUUUACCGCCGGGAAAAUAACAUAUAAAAGUGGUGGAAACAUUUAGCAAUGCAGUUGCCUAAAAAUAAACAAUGUUGAAAGCUCACAUGCUGCUGUUUAGGCUGCAAACUACAGGGAAGUUUCUCUAAACUUCAAUGCUUCUAGAUCUUUGCUUUGAAAAGGGGUGAGAAAUAAGAGUGCUCUCUAAAGAAGUUAUACAAGUUAUCAUAGGGAAUAAAUCAAUUUGUUUCUUUCCCUCAAAGGUGACCACAUACCAUAGCAUUUCAGAUCUGCCAGUUACAAAUAAUUCUAAUGUAAAUUUCCCAUUAUAGAUGGGAAAUUGAGGACUUUGAUGAAGGAGGAGGGAACUAAUUAAAAUAAUACAAAUUUCACAUUUUCUCUUAGAUCUCUUUCCUUGAAUAACACGCUCUCCCUCUCCCUCCAUUCACCCACCUCGCUAUCCCAAACAAUUUUCCCCAGCUGAAAGAAAAAUUUAAACUUCCCUCUGGCUGAUAUAGUUCUUUAACCAAAGGAUAGUACAAGAUCGGAGUUUCACUAAAGGCAAAUAAAGCUUUAAAAUUACCUCAUGCGUCAUCUGGCUGCACAGACUCCGGGCUCAUAGUGGGAACCUCCGGCUUGGUCCUCCCAGCAUACAAAGGCAACUCAGUGAAUGCCCCCUCCGCCCGUGGAGACGCGGCCUCAGCUGCCAGCGACAGGAUAUGCAAUUUUGCUUUUUAAUGAAUCGUAAACAAUUUGUAUGGCAAAUGAGUUUGUUUGUUUUAGUUUGGGGGCAUAUGUUGUACCAGGUUGUAGAUAGUCAUUACCUACUGCAGAAUUUUAGGUGAGAGUGGGUAGAGCCCCGGAUCAUUUUUAUUUUUCUAAAUAAUAAAGACACACUAGGAUGAAAGAAACUGGUUAAUAAAAGACUGAGAAUAACAACCUCUCUUCUCCUUCUCUCUCUCCCCUCUUUUCCUCUCUAUCCCCACCCCCUCUCAUAACUCACUCAGACUUACAGUACGGCUUUAGCUACACUUUUUGACAACUAACUGGAAAUAAUCAGUUGACUAGAUUAAUCUUUAAUUUUUUAAGUAUAAAUUUUAACUUUGUCUUUAAAAGACUAUUUUGUUUAAGAAAGAGUUAUUUUAAAAUGUGAAAUACUGAGAAGGGCCAUCUCUGUCCUCUAUUACUUUUUGUGAUUGAAGCUAAGGUUGCCUUGAGGAACAUGAGCUAUAAGAAUUACAAAUACAUUUUUUAUAUCAAAAUGGAGCAAGAAAGGGGUCUUGUUAUUGAAAAGUCAAAUAAAAACGUGUAUUCAAAUCCACAGAGUUGUAAACAACUUAGAAGUUAAGAAGCAACCAGGGUUCGAGCACGUACAUUUUAACAGUAAUUACCUUUGGCGCUGCCACUUAUAAGAAACCUUUUGAUAUCUGAGCCACUUCUCUAAUGCUUUAAUCACGCAAAUCAAGAAAUAGAUAUUACGUAUCAACUUAAUCUAGCUCUGUUGUGACAUCGCUAGUAGAAACCCUCCCAUAGAAAAGUAAAGAAAACCCUCAUGAAAUUUUCGUCAGCUCCAAAUGAAAUGGAGACACCCUGAAAGCAUGUAUUUGCUUCAAAAUAUAAUUCUGUCCAGCAGAAUUAUCUCCAUUCUACCCAUAUGGCAUAAAAUGAAGGCAGAAUGAACAUUCUCCUCUUCGUAAUGAUUUAGUGAUAACAAUGUGUUAUGGGACUAUUUUUAUGUGAAUUACAAAAUGCACUUGUCUUGCUUCUGCCCUCCAAUUUAAAAACUCAUAGUGACUGUGAAAUGAAGGCAACUAAAUUAUCCUACAAGCCCCUCACCCCAUGCUAGGUCCUGAAGCAUUUAUUUUGGGAGCAUUCUCUUUAAAAAAUUUGACAUACGCUUUUAAAAUCAAGAACUGUCUGUCACUUAACACAAACUUGUACAACUUUGCAUACCAGGAAAACACUUGGGCAAGAAGGAUAUGCUAUGCCUUGUAGUAUAAAUGCCUACUUUUUAAAGUGUACAUGUAAAAAUAGCAAGAUAGUUCUAUGAAAUACUGCCUUACUAUGUUCAGCAAUUCAAAAAAA